Gasterosteus aculeatus aculeatus (three-spined stickleback) is the source of this 1235-nucleotide long non-coding RNA. NCBI's taxonomy places the organism in Eukaryota, Metazoa, Chordata, Actinopteri, Perciformes, Gasterosteidae. The record is from Ensembl.
AAUUAUUGAUGGCUGAAUUCAAUUUAGCCGCUUUGAUUUCAGGUGCCUGGUGUGCUGCGUGUUGGCUGGCUGCCACUCUCGAUGGAACACCUGAAUGGGACACAGCCAGCGUUUGUGUUAUUAGUAACACCUGCGCUUUUCCUGCCGCGACAUAUUACAACGUCUGCUGGGAGAAAGGCCCAUGGCUGAAGUAAUAAUAUGUUUUGGGCUACUUGGGGAACAGGCGAGGGAAAUUACAUAUUCACACAUCCAGCGGGCGGUGAGCAACGUUAGCAUUGCCUCGGGCUCAUGUUUCUGGUCGCGUGAGUAUGCGGCAGUAGAGGAUCUCAACACAACCAGGAUGCAGAGAAGUAAUCGGAGAAGGCACCAAUAAGUCUGGAAAAAACCCAAACGGGGUCCUGCGAUAUCUCGGUUGUCUCCUUCCAGGCCUGAAUGGACACAUUGUGCUGCUGCCCGCUGCUGUUCUACAGACCACUAGGUCCUCCACACACACCUGUCAAGCCAUGUCCGUGGCGCCUUGGGUGCUGAGACACUCCAGAGCCCCCCUGCUGUACACAUGGUUAUUGAACCCUUGCACACACACACACACUUAAACGUCCUAUAUGAAUAAAUAAACCCAUGUGGUCACGUAAACCUAUGUUUAGACACAGAAAUGCAUUCACAAGGACGCACACAAUUGAAUUUCACAAAUACACAGAGUAUGCAUUCAUGCUUUUUCACAAACAAACACACACACACUCAAAGACUUCUCUUUAUUGGAAACACGCCUCUCUCCCUUCGCCCAUGCCAAGGUUACAUGCGGGGCGGCUUCAGAUUUUAGAAAGGGUCAAGUUCCAUAUUUGUCAGGUGGGGGUUGGGGGCAAGGGUGCAGAAGGAAACAGCAUUCAGGAGUAGACCACCUGUAACCUGAUCUCCUGCUUCAAUCGGUUGCAGGUUUUCUCUUUUUGAGUUGAGUGGGCAGCAGUUGUGGGACACAGUGUUCUUUGCUUCCAUUUGGCAAAUGUGUUUACAUUUCUGCUUAAGUCAUUGAAAUGAUCAGCAAAUGUUUUUUUUAUUAUUUAUAAGCGAUUCAUCGGAGCUGAAACGGCUUUUAAUUGCUUUUCAGUUUAUUAAAUGAUUUGUGGAAAUUGAAUGGCAAUGUUUUUGGGAUUGAUUGAUUGAUUCAUUUAAUAUCUACUUCUUGCUAUUUCUAUGCAUGUAAACGAUUAUUUUUAGAUUCUGAGCAACUUAGUUGG